RNAcentral lists this ribosomal RNA (433 nucleotides) under uncultured bacterium. RNAcentral's name for it is "bacterial SSU rRNA". It matches the Rfam family "Bacterial small subunit ribosomal RNA", at positions 29 to 507 of the family's 1533-position model. The record is from RNAcentral.
AACGAACGCUGGCGGCAUGCCUAAUACAUGCAAGUCGAACGAUCUCUUCGGAGAUAGUGGCGCACGGGUGCGUAACGCGUGGGAAUCUGCCCUUGGGUUCGGAAUAACGUCGGGAAACUGACGCUAAUACCGGAUGAUGACGUAAGUCCAAAGAUUUAUCGCCCAGGGAUGAGCCCGCGUAGGAUUAGCUAGUUGGUUGGGUAAAGGCUGACCAAGGCGACGAUCCUUAGCUGGUCUGAGAGGAUGAUCAGCCACACUGGGACUGAGACACGGCCCAGACUCCUACGGGAGGCAGCAGUAGGGAAUAUUGGACAAUGGGGGCAACCCUGAUCCAGCAAUGCCGCGUGAGUGAUGAAGGCCUUAGGGUUGUAAAGCUCUUUUACCCGGGAUGAUAAUGACAGUACCGGGAGAAUAAGCCCCGGCUAACUCCGUG